This 146-nucleotide signal recognition particle RNA is filed under the name Nomascus leucogenys (northern white-cheeked gibbon). Its description in RNAcentral is "Metazoan signal recognition particle RNA". It matches the Rfam family "Metazoan signal recognition particle RNA". Rfam says of the family: The signal recognition particle (SRP) is a universally conserved ribonucleoprotein. The record is from Rfam by way of RNAcentral. Lineage: Eukaryota; Metazoa; Chordata; Mammalia; Primates; Hylobatidae.
GCCAGGUGUGGUGGUGCAGGCCUGUAGUCCCAGCUACUCGGAGGCUGAGGCAGGAGAAUUGCUUGAACCCAGGAGGUGGGGGUUGCAGUGAGCUGAGAUCAGCCACUGCACUCCAGCCUGGGUGACAGAGCAAGACUCCAUCUCAA